Molecule: microRNA, 22 nt
Filed under: Cordylochernes scorpioides
Lineage: Eukaryota; Metazoa; Arthropoda; Arachnida; Pseudoscorpiones; Chernetidae
Source: RNAcentral
ACGGGAACCAGUGACUCAUUGG